UUGCCCACCUGGACCUCUAAAUGUCCUUGGUGUCUAACACAGGGGGGUAAAGAAACUCUCUCAUAAACCUGUAGUGAAGGCACAAACCCUCACUGCGGAUCCUGUCGGGAGAAACAAGC
Molecule: small nucleolar RNA, 119 nt
Filed under: Nothobranchius furzeri (turquoise killifish)
Lineage: Eukaryota; Metazoa; Chordata; Actinopteri; Cyprinodontiformes; Nothobranchiidae
Description: Small nucleolar RNA SNORA26 (ENSNFUG00015008379.1)
Rfam family: Small nucleolar RNA SNORA26
About the family: The snoRNA HBI-6 belong to the H/ACA family of snoRNAs, guiding the pseudouridylation of position U4522 if the 28S rRNA.
Source: Rfam by way of RNAcentral